UCAUUUAAAGAAAGCGUAAUAGCUCACUGGUCGAGUCGGCCUGCGCGGAAGAUGUAACGGGGCUAAACCAUGCACCGAAGCUGCGGCAGCGACACUAUGUGUUGUUGGGUAGGGGAGCGUUCUGUAAGCCUGCGAAGGUGUGCUGUGAGGCAUGCUGGAGGUAUCAGAAGUGCGAAUGCUGACAUAAGUAACGAUAAAGCGGGUGAAAAGCCCGCUCGCCGGAAGACCAAGGGUUCCUGUCCAACGUUAAUCGGGGCAGGGUGAGUCGCACCCUAAGGCGAGGCCGAAAGGCGUAGUCGAUGGGAAACAGGUUAAUAUUCCUGUACUUGGUGUUACUGCGAAGGGGGGACGGAGAAGGCUAUGUUAGCCGGGCGACGGUUGUCCCGGUUUAAGCAUGUAGGCUG
RNAcentral lists this ribosomal RNA (404 nucleotides) under Klebsiella pneumoniae. RNAcentral describes it as "bacterial LSU rRNA". It matches the Rfam family "Bacterial large subunit ribosomal RNA", at positions 1119 to 1527 of the family's 2925-position model. The record is from RNAcentral. Lineage: Bacteria; Pseudomonadati; Pseudomonadota; Gammaproteobacteria; Enterobacterales; Enterobacteriaceae.